Astatotilapia calliptera (eastern happy) is the source of this 2006-nucleotide long non-coding RNA. Lineage: Eukaryota; Metazoa; Chordata; Actinopteri; Cichliformes; Cichlidae. The record is from Ensembl.
CCUUCAGCAGGUCUUCAGAGGAUCUUCUUCAGUGUCUCUGAGUUGUGUUGAUGAUGGACAGACAGCUGAUGGAUGGACAGUGAAGAGGACCAGAGGAGGAACAGAGGGUUCAUGGUUCCUCCUGUCUAAUGGAAGUUACUUCUGUGAGAACUCAUCUGGACAGCAGAGCGAUGAAGUGUCCAUCAGUGUUUCAGGUAGAGACAGGGAGAUGUUCCAGCUGUGUCUCUGUGCAGAUGUUUCCAGAUGUUGGAUACAUGUCUGUCAGUGAGUUGAGAGUGUGAGAUCAGUUCUAAUAUUUUGGCAGCAUGUAUUCAGACUGGUGGAUGUUGUGAGAUUUGACCUGCUUAGAUUGUCGCUGUGACAGGAGGAGGGAGAGGCAGAGAGAGGAGCGGUGACACAGCUGCUGCUUAUUUCUCCUUUAAUGGACGUCAUGUUGGAGCUGGAACAGCAGCAGAGCUCGUCAUCAGAAGGGUCAAACAGGCUGAUGAAGGUCUCUACUCUUGUGCUACUGAAGCAUUUGGACCGUCUCCUCAGAGCUUUCUGAGGGUCAGAGAUCCUCCUCAGCACAGGAGCUCAGACUCCACUCCUCCUGUGAACUCUUCUGCUGACACUGCUUCAUCACCUCCUCAGGGUCUCACCUCCUUUCUCACUGCACUCAUAGCAGGCCUGGUUCCUGUGGUUCUUCUGGUUCUGCUCUUGGUUCUAGUUCCACUUCUUUUCUACUGCAAAAAGCAAAAUGAAGCAAAUGUUGUGUCUCUAAAAUCACUGUUGUCUUUGUUGUUGGUACUGUGUUAACACACACCUGAAUGCUGCAGACCACCAAAACAGAGUGACACAGCCUGAGUGUAUCAUCACCAUCAUAGUUUAUUUAUAUAGCACUUUAAAAACACACAAGGCUGACCAAAGUACUGAACAAUAGAAACAUAAUAGAUACAAUAAGAAUAAUAAAUAGGAUAAAAUUACAAACAUAGCAAAAACAAUAAAAUGUAAGUAAAUACAAGUCAGUUAACCACUGAGUCAAAAACAAGCAAAUAAAAAUGUGUUUCUCUGGAUUUAAAAGCAGCACUGAUGUCGACUGCCUCGUGUGAAGAGGAAGAUUAUUCCAGAGGAGCCACGAUGGAGAACGCUCCGUCUCCUCAGUUUCAGCCCUGAUUUGGGGACUGAGAGCAACGACCGCUCAGCUGACCGGAGCGAACGAAGAACACGGUGAAGAACAGUUCCUGUUCUGUCAGUGACAUACAGGAAAGACAGACGAUGUCAGAGGAAACAUGGACUGGUUUAGGAGGAAGUAGCACCAGUUUAGUGUGAUGGUUUAGUCAGAGUGGGAGCUAAAAGUGAACCUAUAGACAGAGCUCAGAGGAGUGUGAUGGUCCCCAGUUCCAGAAACGGUGGCAGAGCCGAGAUUAAUAACAACUAAGAGGAUAUUUGCACAAAUGGAAGAAAGCAGUCUUACAUAUUUGUUUAAUAUGAGCGUUGAAGGACAUGUCCUGGUCAAAAAUGACUCCAAGGUUCCUCACAGCGUUACUGGAGGCCAAGGUAAUGCCAUCCAGAGUAAGAAUCUGCUUAGAUACCAUAUUUCUAAGCUUUUCAGGGCCGAGUACAAUAACCUCAGUUUUAUCUGAAUUAAGAAGCAGAAAGUUAGCGGCCAUCCAGGUCUUUAUGUCUUUAAGACAUUCCUGCAGUUUAACUCAUUGAUUGUAUGAAAUCUCCCAGAAUAGAUGGUUGGAGUGUUUUCUAAUCAUAUUGUGUUGGGGAAACAUGCACAUGUAAAACGUUCCAGCACAUCGAGCUCUGUGACCAACACUUGUGUGUUAAGAAGAACACUUGUAUAACAAUAUGGUGUGAAAUGAAAACUCUGACGUUCAACACAGCAUUGUUUCAGUCAUCAACACAUUCCUGCACUUUAGCUGAUGUGUAUCAUGUGGCUUGAUGGAAACCUUUUGAACACAAGCUCACACACACAGGUGUACACAGACACACACUGUGUCGUCCUGUGCUGCUGACAC